This 380-nucleotide ribosomal RNA is filed under the name uncultured prokaryote. RNAcentral's name for it is "partial 16S ribosomal RNA". The record is from RNAcentral.
CCCUCCGGGGCGCAGCAGGCAAAAAUUAGGCAUGCAGACAGAUUCUUCUUACCGUUUUGAACGAGGCAUUGAUCCAGAACCUGCCCAAAACGCAUCUUUGGAAGCCGGGAGAUUACUUCAGGAAUUAACCGGAGGCAGGUGUGUUUUAUCAAAAGAAUGCGGCACAAUAAAGAUAAAAGACGUAAAUAUUGAUUUGGACAUCUCUGCGGCAGCCAAAAUCCUGGGGGUGAAUAUCCCUUUGCCUAAAGCAAAGGCGAUUUUGAACCAUUUAGGGUUUAAGGCUGGCGGAAAAGGAAAAGAGAAAAUUUCCGUUAAAGUACCUUCCUAUCGGCAAGAUGUGAAAACCGGCAUUGAUUUGAUUGAGGAAUUGGCGGGGGAGC